This 861-nucleotide long non-coding RNA is filed under the name Homo sapiens (human). RNAcentral describes it as "HSALNT0338954". Lineage: Eukaryota; Metazoa; Chordata; Mammalia; Primates; Hominidae. The record is from RNAcentral.
CCUUGUUCUGCCUCCUGGGCUGUGCCCCUCCCCACAGGGGCCUCGCCAGGGCCAUGCCCGGCAUGGUGGGGAGGGGGCUAGCACCUCACAUCAGGGCAGGGCCAGUGUCCAUUGUGAGGUAAGGCGAUGAAGAUGAUGAUGCCCUCAGAAGUUGGCAAAGAGGCUGACACAGGCCAAAAGGGGUGCCAGGGGUGCAGGACGGGAGGUGGGUGUGAGGCACAGGUAACCUUGACCUUGAGGAAGGGGCAGUGGUGGCCGUGAACCUGCGAAUCCACGGAGAAGAAUCAGACGAGGGGCAGACAUGUUCGUGAACUUGCCUGAGUUCCCACGGCAACUAAGUGGUGGGGCCGGGGCCUAAGCCAAGGCAGCCUGGCCCCAUAGCCCCUGUGACUAACCACAUCCCACGUGGCUCACAGGACCUCCCUCUGCCAUGGGCAGGGGUACUGAUUGGCUUCAAAAACUCCUGGACAGCAGAUCGUGAGCGAUGGUUUUGGGUGCAGUCCCUCCCUCAGAACACCCUCCUCGACCCUGACAGGCCCGGCUUCCUCUGGGCACUGAGGAAACACCCGAUGGACUGAGUGUGGUGGGCUUGGCAGAAAUACCAUGACGUGGAAAGUCUUCUGAUCAUUCUCAUUUUCCAGAAGAGGAAACUGAGGCACAGAGAGAGUGCAAGGGACACGUUGGUAAGGGACACAGCUGGGACCUGGGCCCAGGCAGGAUGGGUGUGGGGCUGCCUCUGUACCAGCGGAGCAUGCAAGGUCUGAGUUUGAGUUAAUGCUCACUAUUUAGUAAUCGUUACUUCAGACGAUAAUACAGUGAUGUUCUAUGUUACAUAAUAAAAGUAAGAGCUUACACUGUGGA